UACGUAGGGGGCAAGCGUUGUCCGGAAUCAUUGGGCGUAAAGCGCGUGUAGGCGGCUUGGUAAGUCCGCUCUGAAAGCCCGGGGCUCAACCCCGGGAGGCGGGUGGAUACUGUCAAGCUCGAGUCCGGAAGAGGCGAGUGGAAUUCCUGGUGUAGCGGUGAGAUGCGCAGAUAUCAGGAGGAACACCAAUGGCGAAGGCAGCUCGCUGGGACGUGACUGACGCUGAGACGCGAAAGCGUGGGGAGCAAACAGG
This 253-nucleotide ribosomal RNA is filed under the name uncultured bacterium. RNAcentral's name for it is "partial 16S ribosomal RNA". It matches the Rfam family "Bacterial small subunit ribosomal RNA", at positions 524 to 776 of the family's 1533-position model. The record is from RNAcentral.